Molecule: unclassified non-coding RNA, 391 nt
Filed under: soil metagenome
Description: partial contains 5.8S ribosomal RNA, internal transcribed spacer 2, and large subunit ribosomal RNA
Rfam family: 5.8S ribosomal RNA (bases 1-122)
Source: RNAcentral
GAUGAAGAACGCAGCGAAAUGCGAUACUUGGUGUGAAUUGCAGAAUCCCGUGAACCAUCGAGUCUUUGAACGCAAGUUGCGCCUGAAGCCAGUAGGCCGAGGGCACGCCUGCCUGGGCGUCACACGUCGUUGCCCCCCCAUCUACUCCUUCGGGAUUGCGGGGGGCGGAUGAUGGCCUCCCGUGCGCCUCGUCGCGCGGUUGGCCUAAAUGCCAAGUCCUCGGCGACGCACGCCACGACAAUCGGUGGUUGCGAAACCUCGGUUGCCUGUCGUGUGCGGUCGUCGAGCAUCGAGGGCUCGAAAAAAUUGCCGGGCUUCGGCUCGACUUUCAACGCGACCCCAGGUCAGGCGGGGUUACCCGCUGAAUUUAAGCAUAUCAAUAAGCGGAGGA